This 324-nucleotide RNase P RNA is filed under the name Candidatus Altimarinota bacterium. RNAcentral describes it as "RNase P RNA component class A". It matches the Rfam family "Bacterial RNase P class A". From Rfam's summary of the family: Ribonuclease P (RNase P) is a ubiquitous endoribonuclease, found in archaea, bacteria and eukarya as well as chloroplasts and mitochondria. Its best characterised activity is the generation of mature 5'-ends of tRNAs by cleaving the 5'-leader elements of precursor-tRNAs. Cellular RNase Ps are ribonucleoproteins. RNAcentral also lists the same sequence under 1 other name. The record is from RNAcentral. Lineage: Bacteria; Candidatus Altimarinota.
UAGGCUAGUUAUCUGGUAGCUGUAAUUCGUUACAGAGGAAAGUCGGGACACUUUUUGAGUAAUCAAAAAAGUAGGUGGCAGAGUUUUAAACUGCCGAGGGUAACCUUAGGGAGUCUGAAAAGACUGAAAAGUGCAACAGAAAAAAUACAGCCCAGCUUCGGUUGGGCGAUGGUGAAAUGGAGAUGAAAUAAUCUCCUGUGAAGACGGGCAACCGUCCACAUGGCAAACCCCACCUAGUGCAAUGGCAAGAAUGGUAGCCAGCUUAGAUUAAUUACCAGAGACGCUUAGGUGUAACAAAAUCCCGCUUAUCGACUGGCAAACCGC